UAAAACUACUGGAGAGUGUCCAAAGGAGGGCUAUGAAGAUGGGGAAGGGUCUGGAGGGCAAGGCUCUGUCCCAGACUGAUCUGGGGGAGAAAAAAGGAAAUUUCCUGCCAACUAGAAGUUCUGAGAAGAUUUCAUUCUGGAAACAACAAACGUUGUAUUUCUGUGUUCCCUGGUUCCUGCAGCUUCUCAGUGAAAAUGGCAUUUGACAGUGACUUGCACUUCACAGAUCUUGGUCUGUGGAUGUCUGGAGGUGGCCAAGAUAGCAAAUGCUUUCAGAAGAAAGAUGACAGAAGAAAGCAAGAAUUGUUUUUGGUCGUCUUUGGCAGGCUAGGUCAUUCCUCUGUUUCAAACACUUUUGCGGAAUGCCUUGCUCUGGGAGAAUACAUCUGAUCUUCCAUGGUGGAAGCAAUUUCCACAUGAAUGCACUGUGUUCCUCUUGUGCAAAUACCUGUGCCUGUGAACAGAUUUGAGCCCAUAAACACUGUUUUGGCUGUUUUGUUUGUCUUUGAAGAUGACUGCCAACCUUCGACUUCCACAGCAGGAAUCUUGCGUAAGACCACAUGUGAAAGAAAACCAUCCAUGUAACAUUUAAAAUCCAUUGUUUUGUUAGUUAAGAGGAAAUGCAGUUAGACCAGUUUUUUAUGGCUUUUUCACAGCUUUCAUGAUCUUGUGGGAGCAUGUAAUCAUACAGCAUUAAAAGGAAAUCCAAAUCUAGAUUCAUCUGUUAUCUUGUUAAGGGGAAAAUGCAUGUGAUGAGUGGAUUGGUAGGAUUAAGUCACUACAAGAAAUCAUAACCUUCUGUUGUGCUUGCAUAUAGCAACCUGAUAAUGUUAGUUGUCUCUACCAUAAGGGAGCAGAAUGCCUAUGUUUUAUAACAAAUUGAAACAUGAUGCUGUAGGCACACAGCAUAGUAAGAGAGUGUGUGUAAACACUUGCAUACGUGUUCAUAUAUAUACGUGUACGUUCUUCUGGUACAUGUAUAUUUCUUUCCAGAUGCAGUUGGAGUCCUGGCUGCUGUGAGAGUUAGAUGGCUUUCUUGUGCAAUGUGGGUGUUUAUCAUCCUGCUGUAACUGUUCAUGCUGUUAUGAGUUUCCACUUGGGAGCCAUUUUCAGGCACAUGUUCCUGUCAACCAAGGUCAGCGCUGAGCCAGAGAAGCAGAGCACAGGUGGUAUGUCAUAGUUAGCCUCUUUCUUUUGGCUUCAGACUGUGGCACUUCUCAAUUUAAUUUAUGAUUAAACCAUUGCCCUGAGAUAAUACAAAAAAUCUUAGUGUAUUUCUGCCUGGAUUUCAGAGAAAUGGUUCUUUAAAUAAACAAGGGAAAAAAUGAGUGAAUGCAUAAAAAGGGACUCAGACCUGACCAAAAUCCUGUGGAAAGACUCUUUGGAUUUCAGCAGGCUCUACUUGUCCUUAAUACACACUCUGUUGUGUCUAAUCCUAGGUGGGAGUAUCACAUUUUCAGGCUGUAAGUGGCUACUUGCCUCUCAUAAGGUGCAGUGCUGGUGGCAGUGGAGAAAGCCCAGGGUGAGGGGAGAGUUUGUGGCAAAGAGUGUUUUUUUUCUUUUUUUUCUUUUUUUUUCCUGCUUGGAUGGCAGCUGGAUUCUACACAAAAAAGCCCUAAGGGGAGAAAUACAUCAGGGUCAUUACAACUGUCAUUUGGCAGUUACGUAUUCUUGAAAUAAACUGUUAACACAAUUUUGCUGAUUCUUGCCAAACAGCAAGGGCAAGUUGGCUGUAUUUUUGGAGCUAGAAUGGGACUGCAAGCUUUAGAAAUCCUCUCUACAGUCAGCUGAUGAAAGAAUAUGGGAAACAGUGUCUGGAUGUUAACCUUCUUACCUGCAGAAAUCCAUGCUUGUGUAUGCAUACACAUACUGUGUUUUUGUCAAUUAUCAGUGCAGACUAUCGAAAGUUCCACCAGAUUUUUACUUGUCCUUGAAUGUUAUUAUUAAUAACCUAUUAAAAGGUAAUGCUUUAAGAUCAAGGAUGUUGUUGUUGUUG
RNAcentral lists this long non-coding RNA (1996 nucleotides) under Gallus gallus (chicken). RNAcentral describes it as "lncRNA (ENSGALG00010018433.1)". Lineage: Eukaryota; Metazoa; Chordata; Aves; Galliformes; Phasianidae. The record is from RNAcentral.